GCCCGGUUGGACGAAUGGUAAAGUUGCUGCCCUUUCACGGCGGAGACGCGGGUUCGACUCCCGCACCGGGUA
Molecule: transfer RNA, 72 nt
Filed under: Caudoviricetes sp.
Lineage: Duplodnaviria; Heunggongvirae; Uroviricota; Caudoviricetes
Description: tRNA-Glu
Rfam family: tRNA
About the family: Transfer RNA (tRNA) molecules are approximately 80 nucleotides in length.
Source: RNAcentral